UGGACAGUAGGGCUUCUUUUGAUCUCAUUCAGUUCUCUGUGCCCAAACACCAAGCUCAGUGCCCAAGCAUAGAGCAGACAAAAUAUAUGCAUAUUUAUGAUGAUCAGAAGAAAGGGAGGGGAGGAAAUUUUAAACCAAACAGCUACACUAGGCAAAUUUUUCAAAGCCUUAGGGAAAUUAUAGCAAACACUUUUUUUUUUUUUUGCACUUCCUAUGUGUCACAGAGAAGAUUGAGACACAGGGAGCACAGGUCCAGGCGGCUGUCUGCAGGAGCAGGAACAAUUUGUCUCUGCUAAAGGCUUCUUUUGAUAAGGCGGGAGAGCCCAGGAGUCAGCAGGCCCAACUGGAGCUCCCGGGGUCAACUGAGAAAUAGGGAGAGGAAAUCAUGCCCUCCAUGCUCUUGGUGUGAAAAGAUGUUUCUCCCCCAUACCCAAGUCUCCUGGCCUGCUGGUUGCGGAGCAGCAGAGGGGGAUGGCCUGCACCUGCCCCAAGUGGCCUACACCUGCCCCAGGGGCAGGACAGUGAGAUGGAUGCCCCACAAGUCUAGGGGCUCUACACAGGAGAGGUGGAGAAGAAAACUGGGAAUCCUGAGUGACAUAAAAGGUGACCAUGCACAUCUGCCUCGCAGCUGCUCUCCGAGCAAAAGACUUGAGGUCUGCUGUCUGAUCUGCUCCUGCCCAACACCUCAGUUUCCCAGCUUUAAUGAAAACUCAAGAUUUGCAGAACUGGAGAGAGCAAAGACACACAAAUUUGAGACUAAAAGCCACUGUGCUUCUCCUCAAACUGAACCAUCCUAAAACCACAGUCUGAAAGUAUCAUUGAAACUGAGCCAGAAAAUAAUCCCCUGUCAGAUUUUCCAAGGAGAACCAGCCCUGUCUAAACCAUUAUAAGCUUCAGUUACAGUAAAGUAAUGGCAAAAGCGGCCUCCGGGCAGACAAUCCCUGCCCCACCGCCUGCGCCUGCGUGGGUUUGAGCGCCUGGAUUCACCUCUCUGAGCUCGGGUUUUCUCAUAUGUAAAACAGUAAGAGGACUAUCAUCUUUCAGAUUUGGAAUAAAGAGUCUC
Long non-coding RNA from Talpa occidentalis (Iberian mole), 1063 nucleotides. RefSeq lists it as uncharacterized. The record is from RefSeq and is a predicted model, not a curated record. The transcript is spliced from 4 exons. NCBI's taxonomy places the organism in Eukaryota, Metazoa, Chordata, Mammalia, Eulipotyphla, Talpidae.